Molecule: unclassified non-coding RNA, 332 nt
Filed under: soil metagenome
Description: partial contains 5.8S ribosomal RNA, internal transcribed spacer 2, and large subunit ribosomal RNA
Rfam family: 5.8S ribosomal RNA (bases 1-120)
Source: RNAcentral
GAUGAAGAACGUAUCGAAAUGCGAUAAGUAGUGUGAAUUGCAGAAUUCAGUGAAUCAUCGAAUCUUUGAACGCACAUUGCGCCCUUUGGUAUUCCUUAGGGCAUGCCUGUUCGAGCGUCAUUUAAACCUUCAAGCUAAGCUUGGUGUUGGGUGACUGUCCGCCUCACGGCGGACUCGCCUCAAAAUUAUUGGCGGCCGGUACAUUGGCUUCGAGCGCAGCAGAAACGCGAACUCGGGCCCGUCGUAUUGGCUCCCAGAAGCUAUCUUCACAAUUUUGACCUCGGAUCAGGUAGGGAUACCCGCUGAACUUAAGCAUAUCAAUAAGCGGAGGA